This 522-nucleotide ribosomal RNA is filed under the name uncultured Glomus. RNAcentral's name for it is "SSU rRNA". It matches the Rfam family "Eukaryotic small subunit ribosomal RNA", at positions 569 to 1093 of the family's 1831-position model. Lineage: Eukaryota; Fungi; Glomeromycota; Glomeromycetes; Glomerales; Glomeraceae. The record is from RNAcentral.
AGCAGCCGCGGUAAUUCCAGCUCCAAUAGCGUAUAUUAAAGUUGUUGCAGUUAAAAAGCUCGUAGUUGAAUUUCGGGAUUAGUAGGUUGGUCGUGCCUCUGGUAUGUACUCGCCUUACUGGUUCCUCCUUCUUGAAGAACUGUAAUGCCAUUAAUUUGGUGUUGCAGGGACACAGGACUGUUACUUUGAAAAAAUUAGAGUGUUUAAAGCAGGCCAUUGCCUGAAUACAUUAGCAUAGAAUAAUGAAAUAGGACGUUGAUCCUAUUUUGUUGGUUUCUAGGAUUGACGUAAUGAUUAAUAGGGAUAGUUGGGGGCAUUAGUAUUCAAUUGUCAGAGGUGAAAUUCUUGGAUUUAUUGAAGACUAACUUCUGCGAAAGCAUUUGCCAAGGAUGUUUUCAUUAAUCAAGAACGAAAGUUAGGGGAUCGAAGACGGUCAGAUACCGUCGUAGUCUUAACCAUAAACUAUGCCGACUAGGGAUCGGACGAUGUUAAUUUUAUAAUGACUCGUUCGGCGCCUUACGG